AGUAUUUUAUACUAACUCAACACUUGUGAACUGUAUGGAAUGGACUUAUCUCCUCCCAAUUUAUUAUUAUUUUUAGACUGAAUAUCACUUUAUAUAACAAUUAUAAAACUUUUAGCAACGGAUCUCUGGGCUCU
Molecule: unclassified non-coding RNA, 134 nt
Filed under: rhizosphere metagenome
Description: partial ribosomal RNA internal transcribed spacer region
Source: RNAcentral